ACGGCAGCACAGAGGCCCAAAAAGGAGGCUAACGUCGACCUCUAAAACAACCGUCUAUAAGGCGGAAACAGUCGCCGAAAACCACCCGCGGGGUCUUCUGCCGCCUCGGAGGGAGCAAGUCGAUCGACAGAGAGGAGCGCAAAGAUGCUCUGGAUAAUGAGGUGGACAACCAAGAUGGCUCCAUACAGCCCAAACGAUAGGUGGUUGCCGGCUGUGGUGAAGAACUGGUAGCCCAUGAUGUAGGCUGUGGAGAUGCCCACCAGGAGGGACAGGCCGAACAUGGUGGUCCCGAAUACCCGCAGCCCUCAUUAUGUUGCUGCCGCCAUCUGUUUGGCAGACCAACGGAGACCCACUCAGCGUGGCUCAGCUCGGCUCAACAGAGAGCGGACCGCCCUGUGAUGUCAUCUGUUUAUAUCUCCGUGGGAAGAAGAAGACAAGAGCUUCUUAGAUUUUCUAAUGCUGCACGUGUGCUUCUUCCCCUCUGAGACUCCCAAAGACAGUAUGACAAGAAGGUUUUUGUGAUUUACCUAAGAGAAUGGUGUGCAGCGAAGAGAAGGAAUAUAUGACAUUACAAUGCUCUGCACAUUAUGGAGAACAUGCUUUUUCCAUAGCAUAGAUGAGAAAGGUCAUAGUAUGCUUUUCUGGUCCGUGAGGCUCCGCCUUGUGGUACAUCAUUUUACAUGUUACGCUGCAUUUGAGAGAUUUCUAAACUGUUUUUGGUGCAACUGCAUUGAUUUGAUGUACAAUUGGGAAGAAAAACAUUUCCCAACAUCCUAUAUCAUUACAUGGGAGUUUCACAAAUGUGUAAGUUUUAAGUUUUAAGAAAAACAUGUAAAUCCGGACAGGCGGUAAAGUUAAAAGAAAAGCACAAGAAGCCAAGCGCAACAGUGAGACAAGACAAGACGACGGAUCUCUGAGUGUCGGAGAGAAAAAAAACGAGAGACACUGAGCCACAGUGAAGAAGCAGAGAGAGGCUGAGGGAAUAGAGGAACACACGCACACAAUACACACACACAAUACACACACCCCUUGGCUCAGACAUAAUGCCUUGUUCAUUCGUUCAUUGGAGGAGAAGGCCACAGCCAGUGUAGCAGGCCUCCUCUGGCACGUGGCAAAGCUCUUAACAUCAGCCGCUCAUUUACAAGACCCCUGACGUACACACACAAACACAGGCACUAUACACACACACUCACACUCACACACAUACACACACAUUCACAUACGCAAAUGCACGUACUAUAAAAAAUGUAUUACACUCGUGCAAACUGUGUGUUCGGAUGUCCAUAAAAAUACACAUUUUUUUAUUUUGUAAAGAUGAGAUCGCAUUCCAUCUUCACCUGACACCUUCUGUUUGUGUGUGGAUACAAAUGUUUUAUUAAUAGAUAUGGCAGUGCAGAAUAAACCUUUUCACACUGUCUCCCUACAUCAGCUUUGAAUGAAGUAAUAGUUUUUGAGUGAAAUGUGAAUGUCUUCUUGUCAAAAUCCUUCGUAUUAGGACAGAAGACAAACGAAUCCACGAUGUGGUAAAUCAUAGCUGUGAGACAUAGCUGUCUGAAUGACACUGAACAAGUCUACUCUCUGAAUUUUCAGUUUGCAACACACUUUUUGGACUGUGGGUGGAAAACUGGGACGAAACCGCCACAGACACAUGCAGAUCCGGCAAACUCCACACAGCGUUUGCUGCUUUUUGAA
This is a long non-coding RNA of Scophthalmus maximus (turbot), 1692 nucleotides long. RefSeq lists it as uncharacterized. NCBI's taxonomy places the organism in Eukaryota, Metazoa, Chordata, Actinopteri, Pleuronectiformes, Scophthalmidae. The transcript is spliced from 3 exons. The record is from RefSeq and is a predicted model, not a curated record.